This is a non-coding RNA of Bos taurus (domestic cattle), 72 nucleotides long. The record is from Rfam. NCBI's taxonomy places the organism in Eukaryota, Metazoa, Chordata, Mammalia, Artiodactyla, Bovidae.
UCCCUGGUGGCUCAGACGCUAAAGCGUCUGCCUGCAAUGCAGGAGACCCGUGUUCGAUUCCUGGGUCGGGAA